RNAcentral lists this long non-coding RNA (234 nucleotides) under Carica papaya (papaya). RNAcentral describes it as "long non-coding RNA (CPAP_LNC007755)". The record is from RNAcentral. Lineage: Eukaryota; Viridiplantae; Streptophyta; Magnoliopsida; Brassicales; Caricaceae.
GGCAUGAGAGCUAAUCUUAUAUGCCCUACGUAUGGAGAGGGAGAAGAAAACAUUUAUCAUAUUUCCAUUAAAUUUGACCAAUAUUUGAUGUUUGGGCAAGGGUGUACCUUUAUACUAAUCAAGUGGGUGUUUAAAAUGGUUUAUAUAUAGAUUAUAUGGAACUUGGUAAAUUCAAAAUUAGUAGGAACAUCAUGAAAACUUCUUUGACCCUUUAAAAUUGAUUUUAGAGCUUCA